GUGAGCGUAGCUCAGUUGGUAGAGCCCCGGAUUGUGAUUCCGGUGGUCGCGGGUUCAAAUCCCGUCGCUCACCCCA
Molecule: transfer RNA, 76 nt
Filed under: Candidatus Binatota bacterium
Lineage: Bacteria; Candidatus Binatota
Description: tRNA-His
Rfam family: tRNA
About the family: Transfer RNA (tRNA) molecules are approximately 80 nucleotides in length.
Source: RNAcentral